This 460-nucleotide ribosomal RNA is filed under the name uncultured bacterium. Its description in RNAcentral is "partial 16S ribosomal RNA". It matches the Rfam family "Bacterial small subunit ribosomal RNA", at positions 338 to 795 of the family's 1533-position model. The record is from RNAcentral.
CCUACGGGAGGCAGCAGUGAGGAAUAUUGGUCAAUGGACGAGAGUCUGAACCAGCCAAGUAGCGUGAAGGAUGACUGCCCUAUGGGUUGUAAACUUCUUUUAUCAAGGAAUAAAACGAGCCACGUGUGCCUUUUUGCAUGUACUUUAUGAAUAAGGAUCGGCUAACUCCGUGCCAGCAGCCGCGGUAAUACGUAGGGGGCUAGCGUUAUCCGGAUUUACUGGGUGUAAAGGGAGCGUAGGCGGUUUAGCAAGGCAGAAGUGAAAGUCGCGGGCUUAACCCCGGGACUGCUUUUGAAACUGUUGAACUAGAUUGCGGGAGAGGUAAGUGGAAUUCCUAGUGGAGCGGUGAAAUGCGUAGAUAUUAGGAGGAACACCAGUGGCGAAGGCGGCUUACUGGACUGUAAAUGACGCUGAUGCGCGAAAGCGUGGGGAGCAAACAGGAUUAGAUACCCUAGUAGUC